This 73-nucleotide transfer RNA is filed under the name Ictidomys tridecemlineatus (thirteen-lined ground squirrel). Its description in RNAcentral is "Spermophilus tridecemlineatus (thirteen-lined ground squirrel) tRNA". It matches the Rfam family "tRNA". From Rfam's summary of the family: Transfer RNA (tRNA) molecules are approximately 80 nucleotides in length. Lineage: Eukaryota; Metazoa; Chordata; Mammalia; Rodentia; Sciuridae. The record is from Rfam by way of RNAcentral.
GGGGAUGUAGCUCAGUUGGUAGAGUGCUUGCCUCACAUGCACAAGACCCUGGGUUCAAUCCUCAGCACCACAA